GCAAACUCUGCCCCAUAUAAAAAAAAAUAUAUAUGUGUUGCUAAAAUUUCUCAUUCAUAGAAAAAUUAUGGUGUUCUUGUUAAGCAAGCAUAUCCUGAUAAUAACAGCAAUAAUUUGUUUCAUCGAACUUAAAAGCAAUGGUCAAUUUCCAAGAAUGAGGCCAGUGAUAAAAUUAGACUGUCCACCACAUAAGGACUUGAAUAUCAGCUAUGAUGAUGAUGCUAGAUUGCUAAUGAUGUUUAAGAAUUUGCUUCAAUUCUAUACAAAGAAUAAUUUUAUUAGUUUGUAAUUAUCUGAUAUAAAUGUAUCUAACCCACUAAGAUAAAGUAGAAAAUCAGCUCAGGUAUUUGCCAACCUGAACUAUCAGAUCUUUCAGAAG
Molecule: unclassified non-coding RNA, 379 nt
Filed under: Hevea brasiliensis (rubber tree)
Lineage: Eukaryota; Viridiplantae; Streptophyta; Magnoliopsida; Malpighiales; Euphorbiaceae
Source: RNAcentral